GACUCAACACGGGGAAACUCACCAGGUCCAGAUGAAAUAAGGAUUGACAGAUUGAGAGCUCUUUCUUGAUUUUGUGGGUGGUGGUGCAUGGCCGUUCUUAGUUGGUGGAGUGAUUUGUCUGCUUAAUUGCGAUAACGAACGAGACCUUAACCUACUAACUAGCCCGUAUUGCUUUGGCAGUACGCUGGCUUCUUAGAGGGACUAUCGGCUCAAGCCGAUGGAAGUUUGAGGCAAUAACAGGUCUGUGAUGCCCUUAGAUGUUCUGGGCCGCACGUGCGCUACACUGACAGAGCCAACGAGUUCUCUCCCUUGACCGAAAGGUCUGGGUAAUCUUGUUAAACUCUGUCGUGCUGGGGAUAGAGCAUUGCAAUUAUUGCUCUUCAACGAGGAAUACCUAGUAAGCGCAAGUCAUCAGCUUGCGUUGAUUACGUCCCUGCCCUUUGUACACACCGCCCGUCGCUACUACCGAUUGAAUGGCUUAGUGAGGUCUUCGGAUUGGCGUUGGGGAGCCGGCAACGGCACCUCGUUGCUGAGAAGUUGAUCAAACUUGGUCAUUUAGAGGAAGUAAAAGUCGUAAUCAAGGUUU
This 586-nucleotide ribosomal RNA is filed under the name uncultured fungus. RNAcentral describes it as "bacterial SSU rRNA". It matches the Rfam family "Eukaryotic small subunit ribosomal RNA", at positions 1197 to 1802 of the family's 1831-position model. The record is from RNAcentral. Lineage: Eukaryota; Fungi.